Molecule: long non-coding RNA, 2625 nt
Organism: Octopus sinensis (East Asian common octopus)
Lineage: Eukaryota; Metazoa; Mollusca; Cephalopoda; Octopoda; Octopodidae
Exons: 4
Source: RefSeq, a predicted model, not a curated record
GUAAUUCAGGGGUAUGCAAUUCAGGGGCAUGUCAUUCAGGGAAGGUAAUUCAGGGGCAUGUAAUUCAGGUGUAUGUAAUUCAGGGGCAUGUCAUUCACGGGUGGGUAAUUUAGGGAUAGGUAAUUCAGGGGCACAUCAUUCAGAGUCAGAUCAUUCAUGUGCAUGUAAUUAAGAGUCAUGUAAUUUAGGGGCAGGUAAUUCAGGGGAAGGUAAUUCAGGGGUAAUUCAGGGACAGGUAAUUUAGAGGAAUGUCAUUCAUGGGCAGGUAAUUCAGGGGCUUGUAAUUCUGGGUUAGGUAAUCCAGGGGCAUGUAAUUCAGGGGCAGGUAAUCUAGGUGCAGGUAUUUCAGGGGUAUGUCAUUCACGGGCAGGUAAUUCAGGGGCAGAUAAUUUAGGGAUAGAUAAUUCAGAGACAUGUCAUUCAGGGGCAGGUCAUUCAGGUGCAUGUAAUUAAGAGACAUGUAAUUGAGGGGCAGGUAAUUCAGGGUCAUGUAAUUCAGGUGUUUGUAAUUCAGGGGCAGGUAAUUCAGAUGCAUGUAAUUUAGUGGCAGGUAAUUCAGGGGCAGGUACUUCAGGGUUAAGUAAUUAAGGGGCAUGUCAUUCAGAGCAAGGUAAUUCAGACGCAGGUAAUUGAGGGGCAUGUAAUUCAGGUGCAGGUAAUUCAGGGGCAUGUAAUUAAGGGGCAUGUAAUUCAGCGGCAUGUAAUUGAGGAGCAGGUAAUUGAGGGGCAUGUAAUUCAGAUGUAUGUAAUUCAGGGGAAGGUAAUUCAGGGGCAUGUAAUUCAAGGGCAUGUAAUUCGUGGGUGGGUAAUUCAGAGCAAUGUAUUUCAGGGGCAUGUAAUUCAGGUGCAGGUAAUUCAGGGGAAGGUAAUCCAGGGGCGGGUAAUUCAGGGACAGGUAAUUUAGAGGAAUGUCAUUCAUAGGCAGGUAAUUUAGGGGCAGGUUAUCGAGGGGCAUGUAAUUCAGAGGAAAGGUGAUUCAGGGGCAUGUAAUUCACGGGCAGGUAAUCUAGGUGCAGGUAAUUCAGAGGCAUGUCAUUCACGGGUAGGUAAUUCAGGGGCCGGUAACUUAGGGAUAGAUUAUUCAGAGGCAUGUCAUUCAGGGCAGGUCAUUCAGGUGCAUGUAAAUAAGAGGCAGGUAAUUCAGAGCCAUGUAUUUCAGGUGUUUGUAAUUCAGGGGCAGGUAAUUCAGAUGCAUGUAAUUUAGGGGCAGGUACUUCAGGGGUAUGUAAUUCAGGGGCAGGUAAUUGAGGGGAAGUUAAUUCAGGUGUAUGUUAUUCAGGGGCAGGUAAUUCAUGGCCAGGUAAUUCAGGGGCAUGUAAUUUUGGGGCAGGAAAUUCACGGGCAGGUAAUUCACGGGCAUGUAAUUCAGGGGCAGGUAAUUCAGGUGCAGGUUAUUCAGGGACUCAGGGGUAGAUAAUUCAGGGGCAUGUAAUUCAGGGUCAGGUAAUUCAGGUGCAUGUAAUUCAUGGGCAGGUAAUUCAGGGGCAUGUAAUUCAGGGGAAGGUAAUUUAGGGGCAGGAACUUCAGGGGCAGAUUAUUGAGUGUCAGGUUAUUCAGGUAUAGGUUAUUCAGGGACAGGUAAUCCAGGGGUAUGUAAUUAAGGGGCAGGUCAUUCAGGGGCACGUAAUUCAUGGGCAUAAAAUUCAGGGGAUGGUAAUUCAGGGGGAGGUAAUUCAGGGGCACGUAAUUCAGGGGCAUGUUAUUCAGGUGCAGGUAAUUGAGGGGCAUUUAAUUAAGGGGCAUGUAAUUCUGGGUUAGGUAAUCCAGGGGCAUGUAAUUCUGGGUUAGGUAAUCCAGGGGCAUGUAAUUGAGGGGCAUGUAAUUCAGGGGUAGGUAAUUCAGGGGCAUGUAAUUCAGGGGCAUGUAAUUAAUGGGUGGGUAAUUCAGGGGAAGGUAAUUCAGGGACAGGUAAUUUAGAGGAAUGUCAUUCAUGGGCAGGUAAUUCAGGGGCAUGUAAUUCUGGGUUAGGUAAUCCAGGGACAUGUAAUUCUGGGUCAGGUAAUCCAGGGGCAUGUAAUUCAGGAGCAUGUAAUUCAGGGGCAGGUAAUCUAGGUGCAGGUAUUUCAGGGGCAUGUCAUUCUCGGGCAGGUAAUUCAUGGGCAGGUAAUUUAGGGAUAGAUAAUUCAGGGUCAGGUCAUACAGGUGCAUGUAAUUAAGAGCCAUGUGAUUGAGGGGCAGAUAAUUCAGGGCCAUGUAAUUCAGGGGCAGGCAAUUCAGAUGCAUGUAAUUUAGGGGCAGGUAAUUCAGGGGUAUGUAAUUUUGGGGCAGGUAAUUCAGGUGUAUCUUAUUCUGGUGUAUGUUAUUCAGGGGCAUGUAAUUCAGGGGCAUGACAUUCACGGGCAGGUAAUUCCGGGGCAGGUAAUUUAGGGAUAGAUAAUUGAGGGGCAUAUCAUUCAGGGUCAGGUCAUUCAUGUGCAUGUAAUUAAGAGGCAUUUAAUUGAGGGGCAUCUAAUUCAGUUGUUUGUAAUUCAGGGGCAGGUAAUUCAGAUGCAUGUAAUUUAGGGGAAGGUAAUUCAGGGGUAUGUAAUUCAGGGGCAGGUAAUUUAGAGGAAUGUCAUUCAUUGGCAGAUAAUUCCGGGACAUGUAAUUCAGGGGCAUGUAAUUCAGGGGAAGGUAAUUCAGGGG